This 655-nucleotide ribosomal RNA is filed under the name uncultured Chloroflexota bacterium. RNAcentral describes it as "bacterial SSU rRNA". It matches the Rfam family "Bacterial small subunit ribosomal RNA", at positions 32 to 713 of the family's 1533-position model. The record is from RNAcentral. Lineage: Bacteria; Bacillati; Chloroflexota.
UACCUGGCAGCGUGCCUUAUGCAUGCAAGUCGUACGGUUCCGAUUUAUCGGGACAGUGGCGAACGGCUGAGUAACACGUAGGUAACCUGCCCCUAAGUAGGGGAUAACUCUGAGAAAUCGGAGCUAAUACUUUAUGUAGUCCUUCACCAAAAGGUGAAGGACUAAAGCCUUCGGGCGCUUAGGGAGGGGCUUGCGUCCUAUCAGGUAGUUGGUAGGGUAAUAGCCUACCAAGCCGAUGACGGGUAGCUGGUCUGAGAGGAUGUCCAGCCAGACUGGGACUGAGACACGGCCCAGACUCCUACGGGAGGCAGCAGCAAGGAAUAUUGUGCAAUGGGCGAAAGCCUGACACAGCGACGCUGCGUGGGGGAAGAAGGCCUUCGGGUUGUAAACCCCUUUUCUCAGGGAAGAUGAUGACGGUACCUGAGGAAUAAGUCUCGGCCAACUACGUGCCAGCAGCCGCGGUAAUACGUAGGAGGCGAGUGUUAUCCGGAUUUACUGGGCGUAAAGAGGGCGUAGGCGGUUCUUCAAGUCGAAUGUAAAAUCUCCCGGCUCAACUGGGGGGGGUCAUUCGAUACUGUUGGGCUAGAGGGCAGCAGAGGGAGGUGGAAUUCCCGGUGUAGUGGUGAAAUGCGUAGAUAUCGGGAGGAACACCAGU